AGAACUUGCCUGCCCUCAAGACACCUUCCUCUUACUCCACUCCAAUUGUUACCCCUAAAAGUAAACAUGAUUUUUUAAGAAAUGUAAAUGUUGUGUUAUUAUUAUUGUUUUUAUUGAGAUAUAAUCCACACAUAACAUUAUAUUAGUUUUAGGUGCACAAAAGUAAUUUGAUAUUUGUGUAUAUUGCAAAAAGAUCAUCACUAAUAAGUUAACAUCUGUCACCGUAGGUAGUUAACAAAAGGUUUUUUCUUGUAAUGAGAAUAAACAAGCUCUUUUCUUGAAAACCAAAAAUUUGUUUAAACAUUCUUUGUAUGCUGAUUCUUGAAAGUAAUUAACAUAUUGCAAAUUUCUUUCCAGAUCAGUGUGUGUAAACAUCCAUCAAGAUCACUGAAAAUUAAUAAUAUGCCACUUAAUGUGAUAUAUAAAAGAGUCAUAGAAAUCAACUUCCUGGAUCAAAGAAGAUCUGAGAAAGGUCACACCUUGAGUACCUUGAGAAAGGUCUCUGAAGAGAAGUCCAUCUGCUACAUCUCCUGGUUCCCCCAGCCACUUGCUCAUCAACUUGUUCUGGAAGUCACUGUCUGCCUGUGAUUCUCUCUUCCAUUCCCUGAAAUCUGUUCACCCUGCAUGGCUGGGGCUCUAUCUCCUUCCCUGUGAUUUAUCACCACAACACCUCUUGCCGUUCUACUCUUUCAUUUGUCUGCUUUCAAUAAUUAUUUAAGCUUUAUUAGAUAUUUAUCAAGUAAACUGUCAGCUUCUGAAGUUUGCUUAUUGUAGCCAGAGGUUUAGAAGGGCAAUUUAUAUGCAUCUCAGAGCUCACACGGCAAAUCCUCUCUCCGGAUUGAAAUUAUGAUAUGAACAGGAUGUUUUAUGAGAUAAUAGAAGGAAGGUUUCAAAUUCUAGGGUUGGAUAUGUUGGAAUUUUUUUUCUCCCUCUGAGCUUUCCUGAGAAAGAAAUAUGUAAGUAGCUCGGAUGGCCAGGGAUCGGAGGAAAGGAGGGUGUGGAAAUGCGCUCAUUGUGGGGAGAAGAAACAGAUGAAUGGUCCGGUUCAGAUGGCCUUAAAAUUCAUGAGGUUCCAUGCAAGCCAAGUUAAACACCUCUGGGCUCUGUAGGCUACGUAGCUCCCUGAACUCCGCCGAGAUGGUAGAUUUAUCAGGCUGUAGGGCACUGCAGGGGUGCCACCAGCCAGGGGAGAGCUCGGGCUAGAUGUUAGAUGAAGUUGCAACAGGAUAGGUGAGCAUCCUGAACCAGAACGCAGGCAGUGGGAUGCAUUCAGAUGGCGGCCUUUGAAGAGGAUGAAAGCCACAGGGCUAGGCUAGCAUGAUAGGAGUCGCACAGUCUUUUUAUUUCUGUUUCCAGUUUGAGAUAACCCUGAAGGGGUAGGUAUUUUUAAUACCAUAGUUUUUAUAUGUAGAAACCAAAGCACCAACAACUCACUGAAGAAGACAUCUGUUGUUUUUGCUUGUCUGGCAUCUAUUCCACCCCUGGUUUUGGCAACAGCAGCCAGAGUUUCUUUGCGGAGGGGGAAAUCAUCCAUCCUCCUUUCUCAGUUCAUGAAGUUGGGGAUGGAUCUAUCCUGCCUCCAGCUUCA
Long non-coding RNA from Vulpes vulpes (red fox), 1588 nucleotides. Lineage: Eukaryota; Metazoa; Chordata; Mammalia; Carnivora; Canidae. The record is from Ensembl.